RNAcentral lists this ribosomal RNA (423 nucleotides) under uncultured bacterium. RNAcentral describes it as "partial 16S ribosomal RNA". It matches the Rfam family "Bacterial small subunit ribosomal RNA", at positions 359 to 773 of the family's 1533-position model. The record is from RNAcentral.
GAAUAUUGGACAAUGGGGGGAACCCUGAUCCAGCCAUGCCGCGUGGGUGAAGAAGGCCUUUUGGUUGUAAAGCACUUUAAGGGAGGAGGAGGCUCCUCACGUUAAUACCUAGAGAUGGUGGACGUUACUCCCAGAAAACGCACCGGCUAACUCUGUGCCAGGCUCCGCGGUAAUACAGAGGGUGCAAGCGUUAAUCGGAUUUACUGGGCGUAAAGCGCGCGUAGGUGGCCAAUUAAGUCAAAUGUGAAAUCCCCGAGCUUAACUUGGGAAUUGCAUUCGAUACUGGUUGGCUAGAGUAUGGGAGAGGAUGGUAGAAUUCCAGGUGUAGCGGUGAAAUGCGUAGAGAUCUGGAGGAAUACCGAUGGCGAAGGCAGCCAUCUGGCCUAAUACCGACACUGAGGUGCGAAAGCAUGGGGAGCAAAC